Molecule: transfer RNA, 72 nt
Filed under: Diddensiella santjacobensis
Lineage: Eukaryota; Fungi; Ascomycota; Dipodascomycetes; Dipodascales; Trichomonascaceae
Description: tRNA-Gln
Rfam family: tRNA
About the family: Transfer RNA (tRNA) molecules are approximately 80 nucleotides in length. Their secondary structure includes four short double-helical elements and three loops (D, anti-codon, and T loops).
Source: RNAcentral
UAAAGUGUAGACUAAUGGAAAGUCACCUAUAUUUGGCGUAGCAAUAUGUAAGUUCGAAUCUUACCACUUUAA